GUGGGCUCACCAUUUCUCCAUCUGUAAGGAAGCACCCUUCUAUAGAAGUACAUUGCCUUGCUGAGAAUGAAAAAGAAAAUGUUAUAGUCAAGUGCUAUUUCUUUUGUGGCACCAAAACUUUAUUUAUAACAAUUUGAGGGCUCGCUGGGGAUUACAUUCCCCUCUGGGGGCGGUCUCUGGUUCUCUCUAGUGAGGCGGCGUGCCCCGCCCCCCUGUGGCGGUCUCAGCGGUGAGAAAUCAGGACCCAUGCAGUGCGAGGAAUAACCCGAGCUCUCAGCAACGCGGAAAGAAACUUGCCAGCAACCUAGCUUAAAGGAUCCUCACAUACUACCGCGACGACUCUGCACAGACCAAGGAAGGAGCAGCUGUGGGAGCCGUCUUUUAGCACGGAUACCACCCCUAGAACUUCUGGUAAACCAGUGCCAGCCUGAGGAUCACGUUCUCAUCAAAGGGUGGAAAGAAGGAAAACUUGAGCCAGCCUGAGAAGGACCCUACCUUGUGCUGCUGACCACCGAGACUGCUGUUCGUACACCGGAAAGGGGAUGGACUCAUCACACCCGAGUCAAGAAAGUGCAGCCCCCUCCAGAGACGUGGGCCAUAGUCCCAGGGAAAAGCCUACCAAACUAAAGCUAAGAAAAAUUUAACUCUCUUCUAUUCUAUUAAUCCUUCUUCUUUCCUCACUCUAUUGCUGACCAUCUAACUAUUAACAUAACCAAGUCAAUUUCACCUCAAACUAUUGCAUUUGAUGCUUGCCUUGUUAUACCCUGUGGGGGCUUGUCAAGUCAAAGACAGCUCUCUACUUCAGAAAAGUACCUCUGUCCCUCCUGACUCUCCUCAGACUGGACAUUAGUGAAUUGGGACCAUUUAAUCUGGGGAGAUUUUGAUAAAGACCCCAGUGUCAACCAGCAGUCUUGCCCCCUGAUGUAGAGCUUUUGUGCCAUAGUCGAUCCAAUGUUCUGUGACCACUGAAGAGCAAGGGUGGACUGCUCCAACUGAUUUUUGUAAUUUCCUAAAACCAUACAUUCAUUUUACUAGAGGGACAGCCCCCACCACCGCCACCCCUCUGCCAACUGUCAGCUAAACCAGUGCAAUCCUAUGCAGGUUAUUAUCUCAAACCCUCUAAGUUCUUCCCCUUUUCUAAGCCAGUUCCCUUCUUUAAGCUAGUUUUAUGGUAUGGGGGCUGAGGUUUCAGGGACAGAACCUAAUGGAUUCUUUGAAAUGCAUUUCUUUGAUCCCCUGCCACCUGCACCUUCCUCUAAGCCUUCUUCCAAAACCUCUCACAAUGAAACAAUUGCUCCUCCUCCAUCUAACGACAAGACCAAAAUAGCUAUUGUAGAAGUUAAAGACUUAAAACAAACUUUGGCAAUUAAGACAGGAUACCAAGAUGCAAAUGCCUGGUUGAAAUGGAUCAAAUAUUCCAUCUACACGUUAAAAGCAAUUGUUAUGCUUGUGCACACGGCAGUCCAGAGGCCCAGAUUGUCCUCUUUCCACUAGGGUGGUCCUCCAGUAGACCGGGUGUGGGCUGCAUGGUAGCUCUUUUCCAGGAUUCUACAGCCUGGAGUAACAAGUUGUGCCACUCUCUCUCUCUGCUAUAUCCCAAAGUCUGGCACCCUGCGGGUCAGCCCCUGAGGGCCAUCCAGCUUCCAUCUCCCAACACUAAGUUCACUUCAUGUCUCCCACAACAGGGAGAAAACUUAGCGUUCCUUGGAGACCUGAAGGGAUGCAGUGAGCUUAAGAAUUUUCAACAGCUUAUCAAUCAGUCAGCCCUUGUUCAUCCCUGAGUGGAGGUGUGGUGGUAUUGUGGUGGACCUUUACUGGACACUCUGGCCAAUAACUGGAGUGGCACUUGUGCUUUAGUCCAAUUGGCUAUCCCUUUCACCCUGGCAUUUCAUCAACCAGAGGAAGGAAAAAUAAGACAUCAUAAAGCGAGAGAAGCCCCUCAUGUGUCUUUCGACUCUCACGUCUAUUUAAAUGCAAUUGGAGUUCCAUGGGGAAUACCAGAUCAAUUUAAAUCCCGAAAUCAAAUAGCUGCAGGAUUUGAGUCAAUAUUUUGGUGGGUGACAAUUAAUAAAAAUGUAUAUUGGAUAAACUACAUCUACUACAACAACAGCAAUUUAUUAACUACACUAGAGAUGCUGUUAAAGGAAUAGCUGAGCAAUUAGGGGCUACUAGCCAGAUGGCUUGGGAAAAUAGGAUAGCCUUAGACAUGAUAUUAGCAGAAAGAGGAGGAGUUUGCAUCGUGAUUAAAACUCAACGUUGUAUCUUCAUCCCAAACAACACUGCCCCUGAUGGAAGUAUAACAAAGGCAUUGCAAGGUCUGACUGCUCUGUCCAAUGAGUUAGCCAACAACUCAGGGGAAAAUGACCCCUUUACAGGAUGGCUAGAAAAGUGGUUUGGUAGAUGGAAAAGAAUAAUAGCCUCGAUUCUUACUUCCCUCGCAGCCAUAAUGGGUGUACUUAUUCUUGUCAGGUGCUGUGUCACACCAUGCAUCUGUGGGUUGGUGCAAAGGCUCAUAAAAACGGCACUUACUAAAACCUCCCUUAACUAUCCUCCACCUUAUCCAGAGAAGCUUCUUCUUUUGGAAAAUCAAGCAGAACAACUAAGCCAAGACAUGUUAAAGAAGUUUGAAGAGAAAGCGCUAUAAGGAAAUGCAAGAAGACAAAUUGUUAGAUAUGAGUUCUAAAUUUCUCUUCCAAGAAAUUUGUCAGUAUGUUCAAUUCUUUGCCUUCUACUUUUAAACUUAACUUCCUCGUAAAGCAACAUUUUUCGAUUACCUACUCCACCCUGACUCAUUCCGAUUACCUGCUCAUUCUCCACCCUGACUCAUUCCAAUUUCCUGCUCUGCCAUAACCAGUUUUCCUGCCAAACCACUCACCCCAUCACUCUCUUUAAAUCAGCCAAUUGGAAUUAGUUUGUCUGUGCGGUCUAACCCUAGCCAAUAGGGGAAUGACACAGCAGCAGGGGCCAUGUGAGUCAGGGAUAAGAACCCCUUCCCCUACCUUGUCCAAGUGCAUGCUUGCCCUUGCUGUAUCUGAAAGGGCACACCCUUCUAUAGAAGUACAUUGCCUUGCUGAGAAUUAAAAAGAAAAUUUUAUAUUUGAGUGCUAUUUCUUUUUUUUGCUUUUCUUUUCUUUUGCAUUUUUUUUUUUUUGAGAUGGAGUCUCGCUCUGUCGCCCAGGCUGGAGUGCAGUGGCACGAUCUCGGCUCACUGCAAGCUCCGCCUCCAGGAUUCACGCCAUUCUCCUGCCUCAGCCUUCUGAGUAGCUGGGACUACAGGUGCCCGCCACCACGCCUGGCUAAUUUUUUGUAUUUUUAGUAGAGACAGGGUUUCACUGUGUUAGCCAGGAUGGUCUCGAUCUCCUGACGUCUUGAUCCACCCGCCUUGGCCUCCCAAAGUGCUGGGGUUACAGGCGUGAGCCACUGCACAGGGCCUUUGAGUGCUAUUUCUAAUGCAGCACCGAAACUUUAUUUAUAACAGUGUGCAGUGGUGUCUCCUUGUUGUUUUAAUGUUUCAGUUCCCUAAUGACAUAUGCCAUUGAACAUCUUUUCAUUUGCUUAGGUGCCACUUCUGCUCCAGUUUUAACGGCUUAGUUGAUGCUUUCUGCAGGAAAGCUCUCUCCCCCAUUGUGUCAGAUAGCCUUUGCUGUGUAAUAGAUGACUUCAAAACUUGGUAGCUGAAAAUAGCAAUCAUAUAUCUGUGGGUCACGUGGAGUUCAGCUGAUUAGGCAGGGUUGCGCUGGUUGGCCCAGCUUUGGGCUUGUGGGUCUCCUGGGUCUGCUGGGUCUGCUAGGUGACUCUGUUCCAUAGGCCUCCAACCUUCUUUAAGCGUAUCUGCCAUCAUAUGUUCUCACGACAAAGGCAGAGGCACAACAGGGUGAGUGGAAACAUGACAUUUCUUAAAGUCUGGACUCACUGAGACAUACCUGCAAUUAGUUACAGUAAGUCACAGGGCCAACUCCAAAUUCAAGGGGCAGUAUGAGGCCAUAGCAAGGAUGUGGAUGCAUGAUGGGGACGAGAGAAGAAUUAAGACCAACAAGUCAAUCCACCACAGUGCACUACUUUGAUCAUAACUUUCCUCUAACAUGCAAAUGUCCUUACCCCCAACCCAGGGUCCCAAAGGGCUUGAUUGGAUCUGCAGGAUGUCAUGGAGACCUGUAGACUAAAAUGGCAAGUCGUUUGCACCUUAAAUACCCAACACUCAGAGGCAGAACAGGAAGGAAAUAACCAAAAUAAAAACUUCCAUCUCACAUUCUCCUAUUUCUUUUCACAUGCCACUGGUCACAGCAAGUCACAUGGCCAAAACUAAAGCCAAGGGAUACUCAUGAUGAGGCCAUGACACAGUAGGGAUACAGAAUUGGGGACAAUACUUUACCCCAGUAUAAACAGAAAUGGAAGGAUGGUUGUUCUUCCAUUUAUAUCAUCUGCCUUGACCACCACUUCUGAAACGGGCUUUAGAAAAAUGCCCUUUUUUUCAUCUGAGCAAGUUUCUCAGAAUGCUUUCAGCCUGGAAAAAGCUGGGGGCUCAGAGGUCUUUUUACAUUUCAAAGAGCCACAGUCCUUUAUAUUCAAGGCCAGAAGUAUUUUUGUCAAUAAUACUUUCGAAAAAACUUUCUGAGUUUUACAAAUUAAAAACAAGGAAUUUUAAAAGUGGCAAGAAAACACAUUUUUUUUUGUUGCCCUAGAAAGGUGAGCUAAAGGAACAAAUUUUUCUUAAUGACUAUCUAAAAAAACAAUUUUGAAGAUGUGGUCAAAAAGAUUGAAUAGGAAUGUAUCCCAUACAUAUUUCCUUAUAGAUAGUUUUACGGAUAAGUAAUUCAAGAUUUGGACCAAAAUAUAUAUAAACUAAUGUAUAACAAAUAUUAGCUUGGUAGUAGUGUAUUGAAAUUGAUAUUUUAAUUUCCCCAAAUCUUUGUGAGGAUGGCAGAUUAAACAGGGUGUUUUUCAGUGAAAAUAUAAUUUGUAUAUUUAGUGGUUAAUGCAUAACUUUUGAGAAAGUCUUUUUCAAAGACUUGUACAUUGAGAAAGUGAAUGAUUAUGAUGUCUGAGUUCAACCUUUAUGCAAGUCUGAUGGUUUCUAAUUGUUCGUAUUUUAAAAAAUUGUAAUAGGAUUUAUUUGAGUUUUAAAUUGAUGGAACUUUUAAAAUUAAAGAUGAUAAAUGCUUAUUCUGUGAUUUUAGCAUUUUCCUAAGAAGAGGUUCAAAGAACUGAGUGAUGUAGACGAGACCAAAUUCCUUCCAUUUUCAUUUACUUACAUAUAAGGACACAAUUUCUCAGCACAAACAAGAAAACAGAAGGAAUAAAAUUUGGGGAAAAUCCUUUAUGAGUUUUUUUUGUCUUUAUUUUAUUUUAAGUUCUGGGGUACAUGUGCAGGAUGUGCAGAUUUGUUACAUAGGUAAAUGUGAGCCAUAGUCACCUAGGUGUUAAGCCGGGUAGGCAUUAGCUAUUUUUCCUGAUGCCAUCAUGAGUUUUAACGUAUUUUAUUCUAGUCUACCCAUGUGUCAAAAUUCAUUUGGGAUAUACCUCUCUGUGUGUCUGUCACUCCAUAGUUGCUAUUAAUUGGGGUAUAACAGGUUGUCGUGGGACUAUGCCUUUAAGUUUUCUAGGUACCUGGUUGCACAGCUGGAAGGCUUUCCUAGACCAGGGCUACUCAAAGACGUAACAUCAGCAUCACCUGGGAGCCAGUUCAAAGUACAAGCUCUUGGGCCUUUUCCUGUAACUGUGGAAUCGGAAUCUCUGGAGGUGGUGCUUGGGUAUCUGUGUUAACAAGCCUCUGGAUGAUUCUGAAGCACGCAAAAGUUUGAGAAAUGACAGGGUACUAUCUUAUUUCUCCUGGAGUCUGGUCUUUAACCUGGGGACUUGGCUUAACUGGCAGUGCCCUGGGUUGGUUGUUUCCAAGCUGUAUCUUAAUGGCCACACCUUGACUUGGUCUUUGUCUCUGCACUGUAUUUUAUUUGGGAGUCUUUUACUGGCUCGAAGGGCUGGGGAUAAAAAACAGUUCUAUUUUCCAACCCAGCUAGUUUGGACUCUGUGUAUUCCCUCUAAAUUCUGCUUGCAAGCUAACCAGUUCUCCUCUAAGCUAUACUAUAUCAUAUGUGAUGAAGUCUUCCAAUUGUAACCUUCUGCCUGGCAAUCUUCUUGCUCAAGUUCAUAGGUUCAUUAGGCACAUUUUCUAUCUUUCAGGUUAGCUCAGGUGACAAUUUUACCAGAUAUUUUGUCACUACAUAACAUAGGUCACAAUUUUCCUGCCUCCUAUAACUGUUUCCUUUCUUCAGCCUCUAUCUGCCUCCUAGGCCCAAAACCAAUACCACAUAUUUUAGGAUUUUGCUGUGGUACCAAUUUCUGUAAACGUUUGAUAUUGCUGAAUAAUAAACCACUCCAAAACUUGUGGCUUAAAACAAUAAUUACUUAUGACUGCUCACAGGUCCAUGGGUUGACUGGGGUUCUGCUGAAAGGCUGGGUGGCUCUGCUCCAGGACAUGGUGGCUGCAGUGCCACUGCAGGCCCGGGUGGCUCCACUCCUUAGAGCAGUGGGCAAGCCAGGGCAUGUUCUCAUUGCCAUGGUAAAGGUGCAAGAAGACAAGUGGAAAUAUGUGAUGCUUCUGAAGUCCUAGGCUCAGAACUGGCCUCCUCUCGCUUCUGCCCACGUGUCACUGGCCAUAGCAUGUCACAUAAUCAAGCCCAAAGCCAUGAUGAAGCCAUGACAAAGGUAUAAAUGCAGGCAAGUGUAAAGAAUUAGGAACAAUACUUUAAUCUGGAAUCCUCCCCAACAUAAAAAUAGAGUCUCUUCUACGUGUUAUCAUACAUUUUUAAACGUACACUCCCAGAACAUUUCUGUCAUUGUCUCAGAAAAGCAGACAAUUGUGCCUCCAGAACCUAGACGGUGCCUGAGGCACAGUAGAUAUUCAAUAAAUACCUGCUGAACAAGUGACUGACUGCAUAAGUGAAUGAAUGCAUUCCUGAUGGAUAGUUUGCCAAGUUAGAUCUGUAGAGACCAAGAAUUAAGGGAUGAUUUGGCUGACAAAAACAAGAAAUGGGGAAAGGAUUC
Molecule: long non-coding RNA, 7044 nt
Filed under: Homo sapiens (human)
Lineage: Eukaryota; Metazoa; Chordata; Mammalia; Primates; Hominidae
Description: HSALNT0319370
Source: RNAcentral